CCUACGGGUGGCUGCAGUGGGGAAUAUUGGAUAAUGGGGGGAACCCUGAUCCAGCCAUGCCGCGUGUGUGAAGAAGGCCCUCGGGUUGUAAAGCACUUUCAGUGAGGAAGAACGCCUGGUGGUUAAUACCCAUCAGGAAAGACAUCACUCACAGAAGAAGCACCGGCUAACUCCGUGCCAGCAGCCGCGGUAAUACGGAGGGUGCGAGCGUUAAUCGGAAUUACUGGGCGUAAAGCGCGCGUAGGUGGCUUGAUAAGCCGGUUGUGAAAGCCCCGGGCUCAACCUGGGAACGGCAUCCGGAACUGUCAAGCUAGAGUGCAGGAGAGGAAGGUAGAAUUCCCGGUGUAGCGGUGAAAUGCGUAGAGAUCGGGAGGAAUACCAGUGGCGAAGGCGGCCUUCUGGACUGACACUGACACUGAGGUGCGAAAGCGUGGGUAGCAAACAGGAUUAGAUACCCGGGUAGUC
Molecule: ribosomal RNA, 465 nt
Filed under: Vreelandella stevensii
Lineage: Bacteria; Pseudomonadati; Pseudomonadota; Gammaproteobacteria; Oceanospirillales; Halomonadaceae
Description: partial 16S ribosomal RNA
Rfam family: Bacterial small subunit ribosomal RNA
Source: RNAcentral